UACGUAGGGUGCGAGCGUUAAUCGGAAUUACUGGGCGUAAAGCGUGCGCAGGCGGUUUUGUAAGCCAGGCGUGAAAUCCCGAGGCUCAACCUCGGGUCUGCAGUCGAUACGGGCGGACUGGAGUUCGGCAGGGGAGACUGGAAUUCCUGGUGUAGCGGUGAAAUGCGCAGAUAUCAGGAGGAACACCGGUGGCGAAGGCGGGCCUCUGGGCCGAUACUGACGCUGAGGAGCGAAAGCGUGGGGAGCGAACAGG
RNAcentral lists this ribosomal RNA (253 nucleotides) under uncultured bacterium. RNAcentral's name for it is "partial 16S ribosomal RNA". It matches the Rfam family "Bacterial small subunit ribosomal RNA", at positions 524 to 776 of the family's 1533-position model. The record is from RNAcentral.